CUGCUCAGGACGAACGCUGGCGGCGUGCCUAAUACAUGCAAGUCGAGCGGAUUGAAGGGAGCUUGCUCCUGAUAUUAGCGGCGGACGGGUGAGUAACACGUGGGCAACCUGCCCUGCAGAUGGGGAUAACUCCGGGAAACCGGGGCUAAUACCGAAUAAUCGGUUCUUCCGCAUGGAAGAACUCUGAAAGACGGUUUCGGCUGUCACUGCAGGAUGGGCCCGCGGCGCAUUAGCUAGUUGGUGGGAUAACGGCCUACCAAGGCGACGAUGCGUAGCCGACCUGAGAGGGUGAUCGGCCACACUGGGACUGAGACACGGCCCAGACUCCUACGGGAGGCAGCAGUAGGGAAUCUUCCACAAUGGACGAAAGUCUGAUGGAGCAACGCCGCGUGAGCGAAGAAGGUUUUCGGAUCGUAAAGCUCUGUUGCGAGGGAAGAACAAGUACGGGAGUAACUGCCCGUACCUUGACGGUACCUCGUCAGAAAGCCACGGCUAACUACGUGCCAGCAGCCGCGGUAAUACGUAGGUGGCAAGCGUUGUCCGGAAUUAUUGGGCGUAAAGCGCGCGCAGGCGGUCCUUUAAGUCUGAUGUGAAAGCCCACGGCUCAACCGUGGAGGGUCAUUGGAAACUGGAGGACUUGAGUACAGAAGAGGAAAGCGGAAUUCCACGUGUAGCGGUGAAAUGCGUAGAGAUGUGGAGGAACACCAGUGGCGAAGGCGGCUUUCUGGUCUGUAACUGACGCUGAGGCGCGAAAGCGUGGGGAGCAAACAGGAUUAGAUACCCUGGUAGUCCACGCCGUAAACGAUGAGUGCUAAGUGUUAGGGGGUUUCCGCCCCUUAGUGCUGCAGCUAACGCAUUAAGCACUCCCGCCCU
Molecule: ribosomal RNA, 873 nt
Filed under: Sporosarcina sp.
Lineage: Bacteria; Bacillati; Bacillota; Bacilli; Caryophanales; Caryophanaceae
Description: bacterial SSU rRNA
Rfam family: Bacterial small subunit ribosomal RNA
Source: RNAcentral